This 444-nucleotide unclassified non-coding RNA is filed under the name Melitaea cinxia (Glanville fritillary). RNAcentral describes it as "misc RNA ENSMCXG00005001898.1". The stretch from base 233 to 433 matches the Rfam family "Small nucleolar RNA U3". Lineage: Eukaryota; Metazoa; Arthropoda; Insecta; Lepidoptera; Nymphalidae. The record is from RNAcentral.
AUUCUUUUUAACCGACUUCCAAAAAAGGAGGAGGUUCUCAAUUCGACUGUAUUUUUUUUUUUUUUUUUUAUGCCACUCAGACAGCGACAGCGCCCCACGCCGCUCCCCAGGAGAGCGGUGAACGAUCAUCGAGGGCUGGCGGCCAGAGCCGCCGCCCGCCUCACGCUCAGGGCGCCGCGCCACGACUCCUCAUCGCGGCCGGUACGAUCACACGUAGUGUGUAGAUCUCGUGAAGAGCUUACUAUAGAAAUGAUCCUAUGAAGUAAGCUCUUCACGAGAUCUACACACUACGUGUGAUCGUACCGGCCGCGAUGAGGAGUCGUGGCGCGGCGCCCUGAGCGUGAGGCGGGCGGCGGCUCUGGCCGCCAGCCCUCGAUGAUCGUUCACCGCUCUCCUGGGGAGCGGCGUGGGGCGCUGUCGCUGUCUGAGUGGCCUUUUUAAAAU